RNAcentral lists this ribosomal RNA (904 nucleotides) under Escherichia coli. RNAcentral's name for it is "partial 23S ribosomal RNA". It matches the Rfam family "Bacterial large subunit ribosomal RNA", at positions 419 to 1323 of the family's 2925-position model. The record is from RNAcentral. Lineage: Bacteria; Pseudomonadati; Pseudomonadota; Gammaproteobacteria; Enterobacterales; Enterobacteriaceae.
GGGACACGUGGUAUCCUGUCUGAAUAUGGGGGGACCAUCCUCCAAGGCUAAAUACUCCUGACUGACCGAUAGUGAACCAGUACCGUGAGGGAAAGGCGAAAAGAACCCCGGCGAGGGGAGUGAAAAAGAACCUGAAACCGUGUACGUACAAGCAGUGGGAGCACGCUUAGGCGUGUGACUGCGUACCUUUUGUAUAAUGGGUCAGCGACUUAUAUUCUGUAGCAAGGUUAACCGAAUAGGGGAGCCGAAGGGAAACCGAGUCUUAACUGGGCGUUAAGUUGCAGGGUAUAGACCCGAAACCCGGUGAUCUAGCCAUGGGCAGGUUGAAGGUUGGGUAACACUAACUGGAGGACCGAACCGACUAAUGUUGAAAAAUUAGCGGAUGACUUGUGGCUGGGGGUGAAAGGCCAAUCAAACCGGGAGAUAGCUGGUUCUCCCCGAAAGCUAUUUAGGUAGCGCCUCGUGAAUUCAUCUCCGGGGGUAGAGCACUGUUUCGGCAAGGGGGUCAUCCCGACUUACCAACCCGAUGCAAACUGCGAAUACCGGAGAAUGUUAUCACGGGAGACACACGGCGGGUGCUAACGUCCGUCGUGAAGAGGGAAACAACCCAGACCGCCAGCUAAGGUCCCAAAGUCAUGGUUAAGUGGGAAACGAUGUGGGAAGGCCCAGACAGCCAGGAUGUUGGCUUAGAAGCAGCCAUCAUUUAAAGAAAGCGUAAUAGCUCACUGGUCGAGUCGGCCUGCGCGGAAGAUGUAACGGGGCUAAACCAUGCACCGAAGCUGCGGCAGCGACACUAUGUGUUGUUGGGUAGGGGAGCGUUCUGUAAGCCUGUGAAGGUGUGCUGUGAGGCAUGCUGGAGGUAUCAGAAGUGCGAAUGCUGACAUAAGUAACGAUAAAGCGGGUG